GAUGAUAUGCCUCACUCGCCUCUCUGCCGAGUUCCGGCAGAGAUUGGGAUGAGGAGAGACACUUGCGGAUAUUCAAGCUGGUUGCUUUCUGUCUAGAAGGAUUUUGCUGUUGUUCGUGAAGCUGCGAAACAGAAGCUUGGUAUGCGUCAUUUCGAUGUUCAGGUAAUUUUAUGCCAGAUUAUUGGUGGGGCGGUGACCUAAUUAGUACCUUUGGUUGACUGUUGGCCUUCAUGAGGAGAUUUUCUUCGCUCUGUUCAACAGCAACUAACACCUGAGUUUCGAGAAGUUCGAACUACCUCAGUGGAGAAUUUGCUAUAUGUAAAAGAUCUUAUCAUUCUGCGUCAGCAUAGUUUCUUUGAGCUAAUUGUAAACAAGCUUUUUCAUUUUUAUGUACAUGAGGAUGUGCGAACAAUUGCCGAAGCUACAAUAGAGAAGGAUGAGGUUAUCAAUAAGAGUGGAGCUACUCCAGCAAUAGUGCGUGAUAGUUGUAAAUGAGAAGCUUUGUGAUUGUCUCCCAAUUUGUUGACAUGGAUGAGAUGUCUUGAGUGAGAUAAUGCAAACUUGAGUUACUAAUCUUUAUGGAAUUUUCAAUAUGUAAUUACUACUUUGAUUUAUAAUAAAAGUGAUU
This 628-nucleotide long non-coding RNA is filed under the name Rosa chinensis. RNAcentral describes it as "sRNA RchiOBHm_Chr7g0238131". Lineage: Eukaryota; Viridiplantae; Streptophyta; Magnoliopsida; Rosales; Rosaceae. The record is from RNAcentral.